Molecule: ribosomal RNA, 333 nt
Filed under: uncultured soil bacterium
Lineage: Bacteria
Description: bacterial SSU rRNA
Rfam family: Bacterial small subunit ribosomal RNA
Source: RNAcentral
AGAACGAACGCUGGCGGCAUGCCUAAUACAUGCAAGUCGAACGAACUCUUCGGAGUUAGUGGCGCACGGGUGCGUAACGCGUGGGAAUCUGCCCCUUGGUUCGGAAUAACAGUUGGAAACGACUGCUAAUACCGGAUGAUGACGAAAGUCCAAAGAUUUAUCGCCAAGGGAUGAGCCCGCGUAGGAUUAGCUAGUUGGUGAGGUAAAGGCUCACCAAGGCAACGAUCCUUAGCUGGUCUGAGAGGAUGAUCAGCCACACUGGGACUGAGACACGGCCCAGACUCCGUACGGGAGGCAGCAGGUAGGGAAUAUUGGACAAGUGGGACGAAAGCC